Molecule: ribosomal RNA, 483 nt
Filed under: uncultured bacterium
Lineage: Bacteria
Description: partial 16S ribosomal RNA
Rfam family: Bacterial small subunit ribosomal RNA
Source: RNAcentral
AUUGAACGCUGGCGGCAGGCCUAACACAUGCAAGUCGAGCGGAUGAAGGGAGCUUGCUCCUGGAUUCAGCGGCGGACGGGUGAGUAAUGCCUAGGAAUCUGCCUGGUAGUGGGGGAUAACGUCCGGAAACGGGCGCUAAUACCGCAUACGUCCUGAGGGAGAAAGUGGGGGAUCUUCGGACCUCACGCUAUCAGAUGAGCCUAGGUCGGAUUAGCUAGUUGGUGGGGUAAAGGCCUACCAAGGCGACGAUCCGACCUGGCCUGAGCGGAUGAUCAGUCACACUGGAACGGGGGCACGGGCCAGGCUCCUACGGGAGGCAGCAGUGGGGAAUAUUGGACGAUGGGCGAAAGCCUGAUCCAGCCAUGCCGCGUGUGUGAAGAAGGUCUUCGGAUGGUAAAGCGCUUUAAGUUGGGAGGAAGGGCAGUAAGUUAAUACCUUGCUGUUUUGAUGUUACCAACAGAAUAAGCACCGGCUAACUUCGUG